RNAcentral lists this ribosomal RNA (720 nucleotides) under uncultured bacterium. RNAcentral describes it as "bacterial SSU rRNA". It matches the Rfam family "Bacterial small subunit ribosomal RNA", at positions 62 to 811 of the family's 1533-position model. The record is from RNAcentral.
UCGAACGAGAAAGCAGGAGCAAUCCUGUGAGUAAAGUGGCGUACGGGUGAGUAACACGUGGAUCAUCUACCUCUUUGUGGGGGAUAACUCUGGGAAACCGGAGCUAAUACCGCAUAAGUCCGAGAGGAGAAAGCAGCAAUGCGCAGAGAGAGGAGUCCGCGGCCGAUUAGUUAGUUGGCAGGGUAAGAGCCUACCAAGACAAAGAUCGGUAGCCGGCCUGAGAGGGCACACGGCCACACUGGCACUGAAACACGGGCCAGACUCCUACGGGAGGCAGCAGUGGGGAAUCUUGCACAAUGGGGGCAACCCUGAUGCAGCGACGCCGCGUGAGCGAUGAAGCCCUUCGGGGUGUAAAGCUCUUUCGGCAGGGAAGAUUAUGACGGUACCUGCAGAAGCAGCUGCGGCUAACUACGUGCCAGCAGCCGCGGUAAUACGUAGGCAGCAAGCGUUGUUCGGAGUUACUGGGCGUAAAGGGUGUGUAGGCGGUUCUCUAAGUUUGGUGUGAAAUCUCCCGGCUCAACUGGGAGGGUGCGCCGAAAACUGGAGGGCUAGAGUACUGGAUGGGAGAGUGGAAUUCCUGGUGUAGCGGUGAAAUGCGUAGAUAUCAGGAGGAACACCUGUGGGUGUAGACGGCUCUCUGGACAGUAACUGACGCUGAGACACGAAAGCGUGGGUAGCAAACAGGAUUAGAUACCCUGGUAGUCCACGCCCUAAACGAUG